AAGUCGUUUUGGACAAAGCCCGUCCGAUACAACCUGCUGGGAGAGAUGGCACCUGCUUACGUCCAGCCUGUGGAUGAAUGUCUGUGAAGCAGCUAGAUAAUCCGAUGAGAGGAUGUGAGCUUGGAUGCUUUCGAAUUUUCUUCGAAAAUGGGGACACGUUGCUGCUAAACAGGCAUCGGUGACAAAUUGGAGAGAAGCCACAUACCCCAUAAACACCCAGCAGCCUCGCUAAAGCUGAAGGGAAGAGUCACCACAGAAAUGCUCUGCAAUUGAGAAGGAAUUUUCCCAGUGUGAGCUUGGCCCUGUUGCACAGCUGCGUUUCUCUCCUGCACAAGAUGUACAACAAAACAGGAACGUGUGUGUUUGUUUAUGGAAGCUUCCUGAGGGCUGAAUCAGAGCCAAGCGCAAGCGUCAGCUUCUCCGGAUACACAAGCUGCUAAGUUCAUCUCCUUCUCUCCUGGUGGGAGAGGCACAUCACCGGCCAGCCCCAGCAGGCUGCAUCACUUGUGGACCACUGAAUCACUCGUGGUCCCUAGCUAACUCCCAGCUGAUGAGUGUUUUCCUCCUGGGUUUUAUGCUUCUAAUUCUCCAGUGUGGCCAGGAGGAAAGGUAAGCCUAAUAGUCCUAAAGAAUGAGUUAUUUGAUAGUAGCACUAUUUAUGUUUCUGAAUCCUCAUUCUUUUUUAAAUAAGACAAAUGGUUCCCAAAAGUAGCAAGAUUCCCUCUUUUCCUUAAGUAAACAGCAUUUUAGCAUUUCAAGCUUUCAGGAGAUGUGACAGGUCCUUGUAGUACGUGUUUGUUAACAAAUGCACAGAGAAAGCUUCAGUGCAACUCGAACCUCGCAGAGGCAGUUUUGAUGACAACAAGCCUGCAGGAAGGGCAUUUUUCUCAUGUAACCUCCUCCUUCCCAUAGGAGCUGAAUAGGUCUCUUAAAUCGUACAGAUGCACAGGUACAAUGGAGAAGAAAGAUUUUGUCCUCCCUUUGCCAUUCCGGAGUAAUGUAUGUUUUGUAUCAGUGAACAAAUUCCCAGUCAGAUUUUCAGACGAUAGAAGAUGUUCACCCCAUUGACUUCAGUGGGGUGCUGCCAGGAGCUGAGAUCAUCAGAUUGUGCUGGUAUUUGUGACUUUUUUUUUCACACGUUUUGUCAAUGAGAAUUCUGCUAUAAGUCAAAAUUAGGCCUUGUGGCCUUGUGUUUUCACAACAUGAACUGUUAUGUAUCCCCUUCUGGUGAAUCUGGUGAAGGGCAGCAAGUGUCAGCACGGCAAUAAGGAGAAAUGUUUUGUUGAGGUCUCAUGGGUAAAUUAUCUAUUCAAAUUAAAAGUGAAAACCUGAUACUGAGAGUAUUGAGUCACCAUCAAUGGUUUAGAUCUAGGAAUAAAAUCCAGUGUUCCUUCCCAGGUAUUUUUCAAUAUAUGCAAAUAUUAAAUGACUAUGUCAAGUGGUGCUUAAUAAAU
Long non-coding RNA from Rhea pennata, 1454 nucleotides. RefSeq lists it as uncharacterized. The transcript is spliced from 3 exons. The record is from RefSeq and is a predicted model, not a curated record. Lineage: Eukaryota; Metazoa; Chordata; Aves; Rheiformes; Rheidae.